Molecule: ribosomal RNA, 449 nt
Filed under: uncultured bacterium
Lineage: Bacteria
Description: SSU rRNA
Rfam family: Bacterial small subunit ribosomal RNA
Source: RNAcentral
GGAACGAACGCUGGCGGCAUGCCUAACACAUGCAAGUCGAACGCCUGUAGCAAUACAGGAGUGGCGCACGGGUGAGUAACGCGUGGGAACCUGCCCUGGAGUAGGGGAUAACCGAGGGAAACCUCGGCUAAUACCGCAUACGACCUGAGGGUGAAAGAUUUAUCGCUCUAGGAGGGGCCCGCGUCGGAUUAGCUAGUUGGUGAGGUAACGGCUCACCAAGGCGAUGAUCCGUAGCUGGUCUGAGAGGAUGAUCAGCCACACUGGGACUGAGACACGGCCCAGACUCCUACGGGAGGCAGCAGUGGGGAAUAUUGGACAAUGGGGGCAACCCUGAUCCAGCAAUGCCGCGUGAGUGAUGAAGGCCUUAGGGUUGUAAAGCUCUUUCGGCGGGGACGAUGAUGACGGUACCCGCAGAAGAACGCCCCGGCUAACUUCGUGCCAGCAGCCGC